AGCGAACGCUGGCGGCAGGCCUAACACAUGCAAGUCGAACGAACCUUUCGGGGUUAGUGGCGGACGGGUGAGUAACACGUGGGAACGUGCCUUUAGGUUCGGAAUAACUCAGGGAAACUUGUACUAAUACCGAAUGUGCCCUUCGGGGGAAAGAUUAAUCGCCUUUAGAGCGGCCCGCGUCUGAUUAGCUAGUUGGUUGAGGUAAUGGCUCACCAAGGCGACGAUCAGUAGCUGGUCUGAGAGGAUGAUCAGCCACAUUGGGACUGAGACACGGCCCAAACUCCUACGGGAGGCAGCAGUGGGGAAUCUUGCGCAAUGGGCGAAAGCCUGACGCAGCCAUGCCGCGUGAAUGAUGAAGGUCUUAGGAUUGUAAAAUUCUUUCACCGGGGACGAUAAUGACGGUACCCGGAGAAGAAGCCCCGGCUAACUUCGUG
This 434-nucleotide ribosomal RNA is filed under the name uncultured bacterium. RNAcentral's name for it is "partial 16S ribosomal RNA". It matches the Rfam family "Bacterial small subunit ribosomal RNA", at positions 29 to 507 of the family's 1533-position model. The record is from RNAcentral.